RNAcentral lists this ribosomal RNA (332 nucleotides) under uncultured eukaryote. RNAcentral describes it as "partial 18S ribosomal RNA". It matches the Rfam family "Eukaryotic small subunit ribosomal RNA", at positions 1470 to 1796 of the family's 1831-position model. The record is from RNAcentral.
CCCUUAGAUGUCCUGGGCUGCACGCGCGCUACACUGGAAGUUACGGAUUGAGAUACUACCUUGUCCGAAAUGGUCCGGGUAAUCACCUAAAAGCUUGUCAUAAUUGGAAUGGAUUAUUGUAACUAGUAAUCCUGAACGAGGAAUUCCUAGUAAGUCCCAGUCAACAGCUGGUACUGAUUACGUCCCUGCCCUUUGUACACACCGCCCGUCGCUACUACUGAUUGGACGUUUAAGCAAGAUUUUUAAACACGGACAGUGUGUAGUUCACGCUAUACUACAGUGAGAAGAAGAAGAUCGAGCUUACUUGUCUAGAGGAAGUAAAAGUCGUAACA